GAGUUUGAUCUUGGCUCAGGAUGAACGCUAGCUACAGGCUUAACACAUGCAAGUCGAGGGGCAGCAUUUUUCUAGCAAUAGAAGAGAUGGCGACCGGCGCACGGGUGAGUAACACGUAUCCAACCUGCCGAUAACUCCGGGAUAGCCUUUCGAAAGAAAGAUUAAUACCGGAUGGCAUACGAAUAUCGCAUGAUAUUUUUAUAAAAAUUUCGGUUAUCGAUGGGAUGCGUUCCAUUAGUUGUGGCGGGUAACGCCACCAAGACUACGAUGGAUAGGGGUUCUGAGAGGAA
This 290-nucleotide ribosomal RNA is filed under the name uncultured bacterium. RNAcentral's name for it is "partial 16S ribosomal RNA". It matches the Rfam family "Bacterial small subunit ribosomal RNA", at positions 9 to 301 of the family's 1533-position model. The record is from RNAcentral.